UAGGGAAUCUUCGGCAAUGGACGAAAGUCUGACCGAGCAACGCCGCGUGAGUGAAGAAGGUUUUCGGAUCGUAAAACUCUGUUGUUAGAGAAGAACAAGGACGUUAGUAACUGAACGUCCCCUGACGGUAUCUAACCAGAAAGCCACGGCUAACUACGUGCCAGCAGCCGCGGUAAUACGUAGGUGGCAAGCGUUGUCCGGAUUUAUUGGGCGUAAAGCGAGCGCAGGCGGUUUCUUAAGUCUGAUGUGAAAGCCCCCGGCUCAACCGGGGAGGGUCAUUGGAGACUGGGAGGCUUGAGUGCAGAAGAGGAGAGUGGAAUUCCAUGUGUAGCGGUGAAAUGCGUAGAUAUAUGGAGGAACACCAGUGGCGAAGGCGGCUCUCUGGUCUGUAACUGACGCUGAGGCUCGAAAGCGUGGGGAGCAAACAGG
RNAcentral lists this ribosomal RNA (429 nucleotides) under Gemmatimonadota bacterium. Its description in RNAcentral is "Gemmatimonadetes bacterium partial 16S ribosomal RNA". It matches the Rfam family "Bacterial small subunit ribosomal RNA", at positions 355 to 776 of the family's 1533-position model. Lineage: Bacteria; Pseudomonadati; Gemmatimonadota. The record is from RNAcentral.